Long non-coding RNA from Bactrocera dorsalis (oriental fruit fly), 1027 nucleotides. RefSeq lists it as uncharacterized. The record is from RefSeq and is a predicted model, not a curated record. The transcript has 2 exons. Lineage: Eukaryota; Metazoa; Arthropoda; Insecta; Diptera; Tephritidae.
UGGCAGCUGCUGAAGGAGUGGCAUUGGGCGAAACGGUGGUGUCAACACCAGCGGCAGUACAAUCAACUAUUUGGCAGUUUUGUUCGUUAUAAGUUGAAUUCGUUAUUUGUCGUUCAUUUUCCUCUACAAUUCGCAACAGCUGAGCACUUAAUUCUUCAAGAUUAUCCUCGAAGCGGUCAUCGUCCAUACUUUGUGUUUCGAUCUUAUCGAAUAUAUUAUUUAGCUUCACUUGUGCUUGCUGGCAUUGCAUGCGAAAGCACACAUUUUUCGCAAAAUAGAAUAUUGCACAAGACGCCUGCAAAAUUUUCAUUGCUGCCACUCGCGCUUCCAAACGCACACUGUUCUUUCUGCUAUUUUUACUAUUUGCUCCAGCGAAUUUUCGCAUCUUUACAACUCUCGUCCAUUUGUAUCUACACUCGGGCGCAGCACAAAUCCUGUGGGAGGAAAUCUGUGAAAAAAAAUCUCAUCCCCCACCUUCUUGGUUGGGCAUUUGGCAUGCUUGCUCAGCAUGGUGCUUCGCCAUCGUUCGCAGCGAAUUGUUGUUGAUUUAUCGAAGCAUAUUUACAGGCGCACAUGCAGUCGUCGACCUUCAAUGUGUUUACCUUGUGUAUGUGUAUGCGUGUAUGCGUAUUGCACUGUAUUUGUUAUUGCUUUUUACUGUCUCUAUUUUGUGUUUCUUCGCAAAACAAAACAACAAAAACAAUAAUAACGCAUAUGAGAGCAAAACAAAACUGCCGAUUAACUAAACAAACAUUUGAAGCGCUCAGAUGUCACAGCAAAAUCGUCCUCCUUGCACACAUCUGGAAGGUAGCAGUGUUCGUUUUGUAGAAUGAGGCCGCAUGUUUACAAACACAUUGCGUAGCGGUAAAAGGAUGGAAAUAUCAUGGGAGGAACUUUUGAACUUCACUUUAGCCAAAAAAUCAAACGAUAUUCGUGAUUAUUUUCGAACAAAAUCCCAAUUGACUUAGGACAAUUAUAACGCUAAUAAGUUAUCAAAUAUAUGUAAAUAAAAAAUACAUUUUGAAAC